This 72-nucleotide transfer RNA is filed under the name Bos taurus (domestic cattle). It matches the Rfam family "tRNA". Rfam says of the family: Transfer RNA (tRNA) molecules are approximately 80 nucleotides in length. RNAcentral also lists the same sequence under 2 other names. The record is from Rfam by way of RNAcentral. Lineage: Eukaryota; Metazoa; Chordata; Mammalia; Artiodactyla; Bovidae.
UCCCUAGUAGCUUAGUGGUAAAGCACCUGCCUGCCAAUGCCGGAGACCUGGGUUCAACCCCUGGGUUGGGAA